This 223-nucleotide long non-coding RNA is filed under the name Jatropha curcas. RNAcentral describes it as "long non-coding RNA (JCUR_LNC001985)". Lineage: Eukaryota; Viridiplantae; Streptophyta; Magnoliopsida; Malpighiales; Euphorbiaceae. The record is from RNAcentral.
GCCAAACUCAAUGAGUAGGGUUAGAUAACCCUCUCACCCCACACAAUCACACAGAUGCUAAAAUAUUUUUAUCCGGUUACUGUUUAAUUAUAUGAUCAUGCAAUUUGUCACACAAAUGGCAAUACAACAGCAAUCACAAUUAUUAUCACCUUCAUAUAAUCACAUCACGUGGAAAUUAGUCAGUGGAGUCACCGAACCCCCGAUGAGCCGUCCUCCCACAUGG